AUUGAACGCUGGCGGCAUGCUUUACACAUGCAAGUCGAACGGCAGCGCGGUCUUCGGCCGGGCUUCGAGUGGCGAACGGGUGAGUAAUGCAUCGGAACGUGCCCAUUUGUUUGGUAUAGCCCGGCGAAAGCCGGAUUAAUACCGCAUACGACCUGAGGGUGAAAGCGGGGGACCGAAAGACCUCGCGCUCUUGGAGCGUCCGAUGUCGGAUUAGCUAGUUGGUGGGGUAAAGGCUUACCAAGGCGACGAUCCGUAGCUGGUCUGAGAGGACGACCAGCCACACUGGAACUGAGACACGGCCCAGACUCCUACGGGAGGCAGCAGUGGGGAAUGUUGGACAAUGGGGGCAACCCUGAUCCAGCCAUGCCGCGUGCGGGAAGAAGGCCUUCGGGUUGUAAACCGCUUUUGUUCGGGAAGAAAUGCUCUGGGCUAAUACCCCGGGGGGAUGACGGUACCGGAAGAAUAAGCACCGGCUAACUACGUG
RNAcentral lists this ribosomal RNA (484 nucleotides) under uncultured bacterium. RNAcentral's name for it is "partial 16S ribosomal RNA". It matches the Rfam family "Bacterial small subunit ribosomal RNA", at positions 30 to 507 of the family's 1533-position model. The record is from RNAcentral.